GACACACACGACUAAACACGCAUGGACAUCGCUGGAGUACUUUACAGGCUCAUUUGAGAUGUUGUCAAGCAGACCAAAUCCCUGAAUGAACUUACAUCGACUGUGAUAGCCCAACGCACUCUUGUCCUGAAGGGAAUUCCUGUUUUACAUGGAUCAAGUCCAGCGAAUUCUACAGCACAGCAUUUGACGCUGUGACUGAUGGGACCAUCUCAUGUGUUGAUGUGCUCACUGUUCUUGGGGAGAUUGACGGCUAACAUCAUUUCCAGGGUCCAAGCUGCUGUCAGGUGUUAUGGUGGCACCUUAUUUCUGCUUGAUAUAAUAUAAUAUUCAUUUUCUGCUUGAUAUUACUAUGUAAUAAUUAUUACUAUUAUUAUUUUACUGCGGAGUCCAAGCACUCUUAUUUUACUUUAAAUAUGUUGAAUGGCAGGGUAGUUUGCUAUGUGAAUGCUGGAUAAUUAAAAAUAAAAAAAAUUGUGAUUAACCUAAACCAACCUUCUCAUUUCAUUUUUUUUGUUAGAUGUUUUUACAUACA
Long non-coding RNA from Sardina pilchardus (European sardine), 532 nucleotides. RefSeq lists it as uncharacterized. The transcript is spliced from 4 exons. Lineage: Eukaryota; Metazoa; Chordata; Actinopteri; Clupeiformes; Clupeidae. The record is from RefSeq and is a predicted model, not a curated record.